CCAAUCAUUCCCGUAAAGGAUUUUAUCUUUAUUUGACUUUCUUUCACAUUACUUUAUUAGGACUGGAAUAAAA
Molecule: transfer RNA, 73 nt
Filed under: Neorautanenia mitis
Lineage: Eukaryota; Viridiplantae; Streptophyta; Magnoliopsida; Fabales; Fabaceae
Description: tRNA-Glu
Source: RNAcentral